RNAcentral lists this ribosomal RNA (483 nucleotides) under uncultured bacterium. RNAcentral's name for it is "partial 16S ribosomal RNA". It matches the Rfam family "Bacterial small subunit ribosomal RNA", at positions 30 to 506 of the family's 1533-position model. The record is from RNAcentral.
AUUGAACGCUGGCGGCAGGCCUAACACAUGCAAGUCGAGCGGAUGAAGGGAGCUUGCUCCUGGAUUCAGCGGCGGACGGGUGAGUAAUGCCUAGGAAUCUGCCUGGUAGUGGGGGAUAACGUCCGGAAACGGGCGCUAAUACCGCAUACGUCCUGAGGGAGAAAGUGGGGGAUCUUCGGACCUCACGCUAUCAGAUGAGCCUAGGUCGGAUUAGCUAGUUGGUGGGGUAAAGGCCUACCAAGGCGACGAUCCGUAACUGGUCUGAGAGGAUGAUCAGUCACACUGGAACUGAGACACGGUCCAGACUCCUACGUGAGGCAGCAGUGGGGAAUAUUGGACAAUGGGCGAAAGCCUGAUCCAGCCAUGCCGCGUGUGUGAAGAAGGUCUUCGGAUUGUAAAGCACUUUAAGUUGGGAGGAAGGGCAGUAAGUUAAUACCUUGCUGUUUUGACGUUACCAACAGAAUAAGCACCGGCUAACUGCGU